AGCGGCGGACGGGUGAGUAACGCGUGGGUAACCUGCCCUGUACACACGGAUAACAUACCGAAAGGUAUGCUAAUACGAGAUAAUAUAAGAGACUCACAUGGAUUUCUUAUCAAGGCUGAGGCGGUAUAGGAUGGACCCGCGUCUGAUUAGCUAGUUGGUAAGGUAACGGCUUACCAAGGCGACGAUCAGUAGCCGACCUGAGAGGGUGAUCGGCCACAUUGGAACUGAGACACGGUCCAAACUCCUACGGGAGGCAGCAGUGGGGAAUAUUGCACAAUGGGCGAAAGCCUGAUGCAGCAACGCCGCGUGAGUGAUGAAGGCCUUCGGGUCGCAAAACUCUGUCCUCAAGGAAGAUAAUGACGGUACUUGAGGAGGAAGCCCCGGCUAACUACGUGCCGGCAGCCGCGGUAAUACGUAGGGGGCUAGCGUUAUCCGGAUUUACUGGGCGUAAAGGGUGCGUAGGUGGUCUCUUAAGUCAGGAGUGAAAGGCUACAGCUUAACCGUAGUAAGCUCUUGAAACUGGGAGACUUGAGUGCAGGAGAGGAAAGUGGAAUUCCUAGUGUAGCGGUGAAAUGCGUAGAUAUUAGGAGGAACACCAGUAGCGAAGGCGGCUUUCUGGACUGUAACUGACACUGAGGCACGAAAGCGUGGGGAGCAAACAGGAUUAGAUACCCUGGUAGUCCACGCCGUAAACGAUGAGUACUAGGUGU
Molecule: ribosomal RNA, 710 nt
Filed under: uncultured bacterium
Lineage: Bacteria
Description: bacterial SSU rRNA
Rfam family: Bacterial small subunit ribosomal RNA
Source: RNAcentral